AAAUCAUGUUGAGGUAAAUUCCUAAGCAAUCCCUUGUAUCUUUCCCAAGCUUCAGAUAAAGACUCAUCAUCCUUUUGAUGGAAGUUAGCAAUCUUCUUUUUGAUUUU
Lactuca sativa (garden lettuce) is the source of this 107-nucleotide small nucleolar RNA. Lineage: Eukaryota; Viridiplantae; Streptophyta; Magnoliopsida; Asterales; Asteraceae. The record is from RefSeq and is a predicted model, not a curated record.